GAUGAACGCUGGCGGCGUGCCUAAUACAUGCAAGUCGAGCGAACGGACGAGAAGCUUGCUUCUCUGUUGUUAGCGGCGGACGGGUGAGUAACACGUGGAUAACCUACCUAUAAGACUGGGAUAACUUCGGGAAACCGGCGCUAAUCCCGGAUAAUAUUUUGAACCGCAUGGUUCAAAAGUAAAAGACGGCCUUUCUGUCUCUUAUAGAUGGAUCCGCGCUGCAUUAGCUAGUUGGUAAGUUAACGGCUUACCAAGGCAACGAUGCAUUGACGACCUGAGAGAGUGAUCGGCCACACUGGAGCUGAGACACGGUCCAGACUCCUACGGGAGGCAGCAGUAGGGAAUCUUCCGCAAUGGGCGAAAGCCUGACGGAGCAACGCCGCGUGAGUGAUGAAGGUCUUCGGAUCGUAAAACUCUGUUAUUAGGGAAGAACAUAUGUGUAAGUAACUGUGCACAUCUUGACGGUACCUAGUCAGAAAGCCACGGCUAACUACGUG
This 497-nucleotide ribosomal RNA is filed under the name uncultured bacterium. Its description in RNAcentral is "partial 16S ribosomal RNA". It matches the Rfam family "Bacterial small subunit ribosomal RNA", at positions 28 to 507 of the family's 1533-position model. The record is from RNAcentral.